This 253-nucleotide ribosomal RNA is filed under the name uncultured bacterium. RNAcentral describes it as "partial 16S ribosomal RNA". It matches the Rfam family "Bacterial small subunit ribosomal RNA", at positions 524 to 776 of the family's 1533-position model. The record is from RNAcentral.
UACGAAGGGUGCAAACGUUGCUCGGAAUUAUUGGGCGUAAAGCGCACGUAGGCGGCAUUGCAAGUCGGAUGUGAAAUCCCUCGGCUUAACCAAGGAAGUGCAUCCGAAACUGCAGUGCUUGAGUACUUAAGAGGAUCGCGGAAUUCCUGGUGUAGCGGUGAAAUGCGCAGAUAUCAGGAGGAACACCGGUGGCGAAGGCGGAUCUCUGGGCCUGUCCUGACGCUCAGGCGCGAAAGCUAGGGGAGCAAACAGG